GAUAGCUGUAGCUUUCAAGGAGUGGGUGGCAAAUCCUUGUUACAGUAAACAAACUAAUAAACACAGAAAGAGAUGAGGCUCCUUUGGUUAGUCCUACAGAAUAAACAGGGGAUCCAAGAAGAUGACACACGGCUCCGAAUAGGAAAAGUGAGUAAAAACAAAAGUAAAACAGAAAUCGCAGUGCUGGACGCAGCUCCAGGGAAAUAAGUGCUCGGUGGGAUGAUCCAGAGUCUGCCAGAUACUGUGACCCAGGCUAACGGCUGCUUGAAUUGUAGCCAGGACCUGCUAAGAAGCUCUUUUCCUGUUCAGAUCCCACUCAAGCCUAACAGCGUCUGAAUCUCCUGGUAUGUGGGCCCAUAUAGUAUUUCUGAGUCUGGAGUGUGCUGCCUUUGAAAUUCUAGAAGGCUCUCCAGACUUUGUAUUUUUGUCUCUAUGAUAGGAGAUACAAAAUGUAGUCAUCUUUUACUGUCAUACUGCACAUGUCCAAACUAUCCUUUAUUGUCCAUCAUUGUACUAUGUUUCCUCUAUAGUGCAUCAGUAUAACAAGAAUAAUCAUCUAAAUCCAUUGUUCUUAUGAUAUUUUCCCAAUCCCAAUCCCCCAAUCCUUCAAAUGACUUGAUCCUUACCUGUGAGGGUGUUCCCUUCCACCAAGGCAUUUCCCUACCACUGCCAAUGAAAUAUUAAGCAACGUGUCACCACUUUAUGUUCUAUAUUGUUCUUAGGAUUGGAUUCUCCUUGCUAGCCAGGCAGCAAGUGACCCAGUCCACCCAAUUCAUCUUUUUGCUUUUCUUAAACUACUCUCAGAACCCAUGUUCACUGUUCACAUUAUCUGAGAAGAAAACAUCAAGAUAUAAUUAAACACAAGUAAGAUUUAUUAUGGUAAAUUCCUGUUGAGGUAACAGAGGGAGGGCUCAAGAGUGAUAGAAAGCCUAGUGACAUGAUGCAGGUCUAAUACCAAUGGAGAAAAAAGAAGAGGAUGGAAUAGGAAGGGCUCAUGUUAUAGAAUUAUUCUGAGAAAAUGGACAGAGAGAUCCUGAGAAUGGUUUCUCCUUAUAGGCAUGACAUAUUGGGCAGAUAUUCCAUCUUUAUACCCUUGACAUGAUCAGUGACUGGCCGCAGACCUGAUGAAAUAUAGCUUUAGCCUAAGCCCCAUGGAGAACCCAAAGUUGUGCAGUUGGAGGCUCUCAGUUUUCUCAGUUUUCCUGAACAGUAGUUCCCCUUGAAGGAAUAUCUAAGUGGUAUGCACUAUGUACAGAUACCACAAUGGAACUUCAAAAAGAAAAAAAAAAAC
Molecule: long non-coding RNA, 1291 nt
Organism: Mustela erminea (ermine)
Lineage: Eukaryota; Metazoa; Chordata; Mammalia; Carnivora; Mustelidae
Exons: 2
Source: RefSeq, a predicted model, not a curated record